GAGGCGCUCAAAGGUUCCCUCAGAAUGGUUGGAAAUCAUUCAUAGAGUGUAAAGGCAUAAGGGAGCUAGACUGCGAGACCUACAAGUCGAGCAGGGUCGAAAGACGGACUUAGUGAUCCGGUGGUUCCGCAAGGAAGGGCCAUCGCUCAACGGAUAAAAGCUACACCGGGGAUAACAGGCUUAUCUCCCCCAAGAGUUCACAUCGACGGGGAGGUUUGUCACCUCGAUGUCGGC
This 234-nucleotide ribosomal RNA is filed under the name Staphylococcus aureus. RNAcentral's name for it is "partial 23S ribosomal RNA". It matches the Rfam family "Bacterial large subunit ribosomal RNA", at positions 2303 to 2536 of the family's 2925-position model. Lineage: Bacteria; Bacillati; Bacillota; Bacilli; Caryophanales; Staphylococcaceae. The record is from RNAcentral.